RNAcentral lists this ribosomal RNA (550 nucleotides) under uncultured bacterium. RNAcentral's name for it is "bacterial SSU rRNA". It matches the Rfam family "Bacterial small subunit ribosomal RNA", at positions 355 to 896 of the family's 1533-position model. The record is from RNAcentral.
UAGGGAAUCUUCCACAAUGGGCGCAAGCCUGAUGGAGCAACACCGCGUGAGUGAAGAAGGGUUUCGGCUCGUAAAGCUCUGUUGUUAAAGAAGAACACGUAUGAGAGUAACUGUUCAUACGUUGACGGUAUUUAACCAGAAAGUCACGGCUAACUACGUGCCAGCAGCCGCGGUAAUACGUAGGUGGCAAGCGUUAUCCGGAUUUAUUGGGCGUAAAGAGGGUGCAGGCGGUUUUCUAAGUCUGAUGUGAAAGCCUUCGGCUUAACCGGAGAAGUGCAUCGGAAACUGGAUAACUUGAGUGCAGAAGAGGGUAGUGGAACUCCAUGUGUAGCGGUGGAAUGCGUAGAUAUAUGGAAGAACACCAGUGGCGAAGGCGGCUACCUGGUCUGCAACUGACGCUGAGACUCGAAAGCAUGGGUAGCGAACAGGAUUAGAUACCCUGGUAGUCCAUGCCGUAAACGAUGAGUGCUAGGUGUUGGAGGGUUUCCGCCCUUCAGUGCCGGAGCUAACGCAUUAAGCACUCCGCCUGGGGAGUACGACCGCAAGGUUG